CCUUAGGCAGCUUUGACAAUGACAAACAAAAUUCCCUCUGUGAGAAACUUCUACAACUUUCUACGUCCCUUCUGGGUUUUCCUGCGCUUUUCUUUUUCUCUUCCUGGAACAACCAGUCAUUUUACUUUAGGGUAAAAUUCUUUUCCCUUUCUUAAAUACAUCCUGAUUCAUGGCUUACAAAGUUGUUCCUUUCCGGCAUAUUUCUCCAGGCAGAGUCUCACCCACUGUUAUGGGCUGAACUGUGUUCUUCUAAAGUCCACACAUGGACGUCCUAACCCCCAGCACCUCAGAGUCUGACUGUAGCUGCAGACAGGCCUUUAAAGAGGUGAGUAAGUUAAACAAGGUCAUUGGGGGGCCCUGACCCCAUAUGACUGGUGCCCUUCUAAGAAGAGGCGAUGGGCACAGACGCACACAAAGGGAAAACCUGCUGAAGACACAGGGAGAGGACGGCCGUCUACAAGUCAAGGAGAGACGUCUCAGAAGAAACCAACCCUGCCGACUCUUCACCUUGGACUUCCAGCCUCCAGAGUUGUGAGAAAAUAAAAUUCUGUUGUUUAAGCCGCUCAGUCUCUGGUACUUUGUUAUGGUAGCCCAGCAACCAACACACUGAGAGGAAACUGAGGCAGAUGGUUGUGACUGUCUGCCAUCCACCAGGGUACUGUGGCAGACCAGCCAAGGACGACGAGGGAUGGGUGGUUUUAAGAUCAGUGUAAGUUCUCUGCUCGGAGCCCAGGCCCUUACAGACAAGCCCCUGCCAGGGGAUUUGCUAACAGGUUUCUGUUCUGGCCAGAAGGAAAACUCUGAGCUCCGCGGAUGUCUGCUGCUGGAUAAUGGAUGCUUCCCAGGCCUUCAAGGAGGCUGGCCUGGUGGUCAACUGGUUGAGUUCACAUGCUCUGCUGCAGCAGCCUGGCUUCACAGGUUCGGAUCCCAGGUGCAGACCUAGCACUGCUCGUCAAGCCAUGCUGUGGUGGCAUCCCCCAUAAAUAGAGAAAGACUGGCUCAGGACCAAUCUUCCUCACAAAAAAAGAAACAAAACAUUUUUUUAAUGGGAAAGAAGUCUGAAUUCUUCUGUUGUAUAAUUCUGACUUUUCUGCUCCAUAUUAUCCUUCCUAAUGAAACAUAUAUUCAAAACAAGCUCCAAAAAUCAUAACUUUUCAAAUUAGAACAAUGUAUUAUCAAAUACUCUGUGACUGAGGAAAGAGGUGGAAUGUGGUGGUCAUGCCUCGCAAAGAACCAGAUCCAAG
RNAcentral lists this long non-coding RNA (1244 nucleotides) under Equus caballus (horse). RNAcentral describes it as "lncRNA (ENSECAG00000044528.1)". Lineage: Eukaryota; Metazoa; Chordata; Mammalia; Perissodactyla; Equidae. The record is from RNAcentral.